AUUGAACGCUGGCGGCAGGCCUAACACAUGCAAGUCGAGCGGCAGCGACUUAACUGAACCUUCGGGGAACGUUAAGGGCGGCGAGCGGCGGACGGGUGAGUAAUGCCUGGGAAUAUGCCCUGAUGUGGGGGAUAACUAUUGGAAACGAUAGCUAAUACCGCAUAAUCUCUUCGGAGCAAAGAGGGGGACCUUCGGGCCUCUCGCGUCAGGAUUAGCCCAGGUGGGAUUAGCUUGUUGGUGAGGUAAUGGCUCACCAAGGCAACGAUCCCUAGCUGGUCUGAGAGGAUGAUCAGCCACACUGGAACUGAGACACGGUCCAGACUCCUACGGGAGGCAGCAGUGGGGAAUAUUGCACAAUGGGGGAAACCCUGAUGCAGCCAUGCCGCGUGUGUGAAGAAGGCCUUCGGGUUGUAAAGCACUUUCAGUAGGGAGGAAGGUAGUGUAGUUAACACCUGCACUAUUUGACGUUACCUACAGAAGAGGCACCGGCUAACUCCGUGCCAGCAGCCGCGGUAAUACGGAGGGUGCGAGCGUUAAUCGGAAUUACUGGGCGUAAAGCGCAUGCAGGCGGCCUGUUAAGUCAGAUGUGAAAGCCCGGGGCUUAACCUCGGAAUUGCAUUUGAAACUGGCAGGCUAGAGUCUUGUAGAGGGGGGUAGAAUUUCAGGUGUAGCGGUGAAAUGCGUAGAGAUCUGAAGGAAUACCAGUGGCGAAGGCGGCCCCCUGGACAAAGACUGACGCUCAGAUGCGAAAGCGUGGGGAGCAAACAGG
Molecule: ribosomal RNA, 769 nt
Filed under: uncultured bacterium
Lineage: Bacteria
Description: bacterial SSU rRNA
Rfam family: Bacterial small subunit ribosomal RNA
Source: RNAcentral